This 432-nucleotide ribosomal RNA is filed under the name uncultured bacterium. RNAcentral's name for it is "bacterial SSU rRNA". It matches the Rfam family "Bacterial small subunit ribosomal RNA", at positions 69 to 518 of the family's 1533-position model. The record is from RNAcentral.
GGAUAUGAAGAUGUAAUGUUCUAGCGGCGGACGGGUGAGUAACGCGUGAGCAACCUGUCCCUUACAGGGGGAUAACACCGCGAAAGUUGUACUAAUACCGCAUAAGACCACAGAGUCACAUGGCGUUAGGGGUCAAAGGAGCAAUCCGGUAAGGGGUGGGCUCGCGUCCGAUUAGAUAGUUGGUGAGGUAACGGCCCACCAAGUCGACGAUCGGUAGCCGACCUGAGAGGGUGAUCGGCCACAUUGGGACUGAGACACGGACCCAACUCCUACGGGAGGCAGCAGGUGGGAAUAUUGGCAAUGGGGGAAACCCUGACCCAGCAACGCCGCGUGAGGGAAGAAGGUUUUCGGAUCGUAAACCUCUGUCCUUGGUGAAGAGUAAGAGACGGUAGCCAAGGAGGAAGCCCCGGCUAACUACGUGCCAGCAGCGGC